AUCUUGUGAGUGGGCAAAAGAAAGAUCUAUGCUUGAAGAACACAAGGGUAAAGAUAGAGACUUUGAAGAUGAACUCUGUUCUUCACCAUCUUUUUGUAGUGCAGUUCCGAUAAACUAAGCCACCGGCUGGUGGACUGCUCAAUUGAAGCUGACAAAUCCCGUGUAGCAUAUAAGAAUAAUGAAUCAUCCCAAAAAUAGCUUUGACUCUGAAGUUACUUCUGAUUUCAUAAGCUAUCCUAUUGCUCGUCACUUGUCUUCUGAGCUCAAGUAUAUGAUUUACAGGCAAGAAGACCAAAUUUGAAAUCAAACGGAUCGGUUCUAGCCUAGUCUUGCCGUUUCUUUGCGAAAACGGCAAGACACCUUGUGUGGCGAUCUUUGUGUCGGCAAACCAGAGCUCUACCAUAAGAUUCUCAAACCUCACAU
Molecule: small RNA, 423 nt
Filed under: Arabidopsis thaliana (thale cress)
Lineage: Eukaryota; Viridiplantae; Streptophyta; Magnoliopsida; Brassicales; Brassicaceae
Description: ATSL299740
Source: RNAcentral